Thalassophryne amazonica is the source of this 102-nucleotide long non-coding RNA. RefSeq lists it as uncharacterized. The record is from RefSeq and is a predicted model, not a curated record. The transcript has 3 exons. NCBI's taxonomy places the organism in Eukaryota, Metazoa, Chordata, Actinopteri, Batrachoidiformes, Batrachoididae.
CUACAGAAUAAAAUUAUAGUAGUGCCAAAGAAAAUUAUUUUUAUGACUUAAAUCUUAAAAAACCCAGAGGCCGUACACCUUUAAUCGAGCCAAUUCAGAAUA